Molecule: small nuclear RNA, 100 nt
Filed under: Operophtera brumata (winter moth)
Lineage: Eukaryota; Metazoa; Arthropoda; Insecta; Lepidoptera; Geometridae
Source: RNAcentral
CUAUACGCAAAGACAUCCUAAAAUAGGAACCAUACAGAGUAGAUUAGCAUGGCCCCUGCGCAAGGAUGACACGGAAAAUCGUGAAGCGUUCCACAUUAUA